Molecule: long non-coding RNA, 1594 nt
Filed under: Numida meleagris (helmeted guineafowl)
Lineage: Eukaryota; Metazoa; Chordata; Aves; Galliformes; Numididae
Description: lncRNA (ENSNMEG00000002355.1)
Source: RNAcentral
GCUGAGCCCGGACUCUUCCUUCUCCAAACGGAUUCUCCGUCCCGGCCGCGGGCUGGAUCGCCCCGGGUUGGGGUCGCGGUGCCGCGUGCUGCUGGAGCCCCCCGAAACCGAGGGGAACGGCGCCGGGGACGCGGUGGAAGGGACGGCGUGCGGCCGACGGUGCCCGGUGAGUCCCCAAAACGCAACGAAAGACCCCAAAAAUCCAACCGAGGGGCUCCAAAAACCAACCGACGUCCCCAAGGAUCGCCGAAACGCGACGGAAGAGCCCAAAAAUCCAACGGUGGAGCCCAAAAACCGAAGGAAAGGCCCCGAAAAUUCAACAGAGGAGCUCCAAAAUUCAAAGGGAGACCCCAAAACUCCAACUGACCUCAACCAAAACCCAACGCAGGACCCCAAAAAUUCAACAGAAGACCCCAAAAAAUCAGCAGGGAACCUCGCGUGCCCUGGAGAUGUCAAUGAGAACCGAGCUGAGGGCUACAGAGACCCCAAAAACCCAACAGAAGACCCCGAAAGCCCAAGAAAAGAACCCAAAAUCCCAAUGGAAGACCCCCAAAAUCCACAAAGAGAUCCCAAAACCCCAACAAAAGACCCCAAAAGUCCAACUGAUGUCAACCAAAACCCAACGGGUGACCCCAAAACCCCAAUCGACCUCAACCAAAACCCAAGAGAAGACCCCAGAACCCCAAUGGAUGUCAAUGAAACCCAAGAGGAAGACCCCAAAAACCCAAGGAGAGACCCCAGAAGGCAAUCAGAAGACCUCAAAAUCCCAACGAAAUGCCCCAAAACCCCAAUGGACCUCGACCAAAAUCCAACGGAAGAACCCGAAACCCCAAGAGUAGACCCCAAAAACCCAGCAGGAGACCCCAAAACCCCAAGAACAGACCCCAACAGUCGAAUGGAAGACCUCAAAAUCCCAACGAAAUGCCCCCAAACCCCAACUGACCUCAACCAAAACCCAACGGAAGACCCCAAAACCCAAAGGGGAGACCCCAAAACCCCAACCGACCUCAACCAAAACCCAACGGAAGACCCCAAAACCCCAACCGACCUCAACCAAAACCCAACGGAAGACCCCAAAACCCCAACCAACCUCAACCAAAACCCAACAGAAGACCCCAAAACCCAAACAGGAGACCCCCAAACCCCAACAAAACACCCCAAAACCCCAACUGACCUCAACCAAAACCCAACGGAAGACCCCAAAACCCCAACAAAUGACCGCAAAAUCCCAAUGAAUGACCCCAAAACUCAACGGAGAGCCCGAAGAACGCAACAAAUGACCACAAGACUCCAACAAAUGAUCUCACAGACACAAGAAAGACCCCAAAAUCCCAAUGAAGGACCCCAAAAUCCCAAUGUCCCCCUCCCCCGUCCCCCCCAACCUGCACGGCCUUGACGAUGGCGACGACGCCGGUGGGCCAGAAGCAGCAGAGGGUGGUGAGCACGGCGAUGGGCAAGUAAUCAUGCGGGGGGGCACCGGGGGGAGGAGCGGGGAGCACCGGGCCGGGGCUGUACACCUACAGGUGGGCGGGGCUUUGGGUGGCUCCGCCCCCUCCAUAAGCUCCGCCUCCCCCACAUUCAUAAGCUCUCAUUC